GAUGAACGCUGGCGGCGUGCCUAAUACAUGCAAGUCGGACGCAAUGCUUCGGCAUUGAGUGGCGAACGGGUGAGUAAUACAUAAGCAACCUGCCCCUGUGAGGGGGAUAACUGCUGGAAACGGCAGCUAAGACCGCAUAGGCAUACAUGACGCAUGUCGAGUAUGUUAAAUAUCCCACGGGAUAGCACAGGGAUGGGCUUAUGACGCAUUAGCUAGCUGGUGAGGUAGAGGCUCACCAGGGCGACGAUGCGUAGCCGGCCUGAGAGGGUGGACGGCCACACUGGGACUGAGACACGGCCCAGACUCCUACGGGAGGCAGCAGUAGGGAAUUUUCGGCAAUGGGCGAAAGCCUGACCGAGCAACGCCGCGUGAAGGAAGAAGUCAUUCGUGAUGUAAACUUCUGUUAUAAAGGAAGAACGGCGCCUGUAGGGAAUGACAGGCGAGUGACGGUACUUUAUGAGGAAG
RNAcentral lists this ribosomal RNA (465 nucleotides) under uncultured bacterium. RNAcentral's name for it is "bacterial SSU rRNA". It matches the Rfam family "Bacterial small subunit ribosomal RNA", at positions 28 to 490 of the family's 1533-position model. The record is from RNAcentral.